UACGGAGGGGGCUAGCGUUGUUCGGAAUUACUGGGCGUAAAGCGCACGUAGGCGGCCUGUUAAGUCGGGGGUGAAAUCCUGGGGCUCAACCUCAGAAUUGCCUCCGAUACUGGCAGUCUCGAGUGCGGGAGAGGUGAGUGGAAUUCCCAGUGUAGAGGUGAAAUUCGUAGAUAUUGGGAAGAACACCAGUGGCGAAGGCGGCUCACUGGCCCGUAACUGACGCUGAGGUGCGAAAGCGUGGGGAGCAAACAGG
Molecule: ribosomal RNA, 253 nt
Filed under: uncultured bacterium
Lineage: Bacteria
Description: partial 16S ribosomal RNA
Rfam family: Bacterial small subunit ribosomal RNA
Source: RNAcentral